UUGUGUUUUGCGUGGGAUGAGGGAUCCACCAGGAAGAAGUGCGAGAAACGCGUGGAAGGAAUCGCCGGAAACAGUUCUCUCUCGGAGGAGGGGUUGUUUACGGCAAGGGCAACAUGGUAAUUUACACUGUGUUAUCACAUAGUGAUGGUGCCAUAUUGACGUGCUCGACGAGACGAAGACGUGGGCUUUGGAAUCACCGGAAUCGGAGUUAUAAAUAAAAAGAUAUGAGCGAUUGAAGAUCAGGGACCAAUCUGCAAUUAAAAUAUCUACAACUGGGUCCCUGAGAGCACGGCCUGCUCGCACCUUUGAAGGAAUACGUUUCCCAGAGGGGGAAACGUAUUUUGCACCGGGCGCUUCCACUUAAACGACGUGGCAAGGAAGGGGCGGCCUCUAGGUCACCGAUGCCUAGGGCCCGCGUUGACCUUCCCCCUUGUCUCUCUCCUCCUCCCGCCUU
RNAcentral lists this long non-coding RNA (454 nucleotides) under Hordeum vulgare. Its description in RNAcentral is "long non-coding RNA (HVUL_LNC003688)". The record is from RNAcentral. Lineage: Eukaryota; Viridiplantae; Streptophyta; Magnoliopsida; Poales; Poaceae.